CGCUGCUCCAUCCCGCAGUGUCAACGACCAUCACUCCAUUGCUGCCUGUGUGCAUGGUUUGGCUAGGCACUCCCAGCCACAUCCUUGGCCUGUGCCCACCGCCAUUCCACAUCGCCACAGGACUUUGGGGGAUUAGGGGGAUACAGGGUGGUUUCCGGUGGCAUGAGGGUACCCAUGACGACUUUCUUCUGGCAAGAGUUGCAGGGGGCUGCCGGUAGUCCGGUCUGUUGGACUCCGCCUGUGCCUGCCCCCAGGUGCCGGUUUGGGAUCACUCUUUGUCUGGCCUCUACCCUUUGACCUGUUCGGCUUGGGUGACCCUGCCAGGAGUACGAGACUCCUGCCGACAUAGCUCUAGGGGUCAUGGAGACGCGCAAAGUGCCUCACCACGAUAAGGUGGUGAUCCCAUCGAGGCACACACACACACACACACACACACACACACACACA
Molecule: long non-coding RNA, 447 nt
Organism: Hippocampus comes (tiger tail seahorse)
Lineage: Eukaryota; Metazoa; Chordata; Actinopteri; Syngnathiformes; Syngnathidae
Exons: 2
Source: RefSeq, a predicted model, not a curated record